CACCACCUGACUAAGGUGUUACAGGGUUUCAAAUAUAUAACAACAAAAGACUAUUGUUUUAUCAAGAUUUACACAAACUAAAAUAUAAUUUUUUUGAAAAUCUCUCUCUCUCUCUCUCUUCUUUCUCCUCUCUCUCUUUCUCUCUUUUUUCACAAUCUCUUCAUAUAGAAAUAUCUAUAGAUUAUUUAAUAGAAGAAAAAAAAAAGGGUUUACAUGUGCUAUGCAUAUAUUACAUGUUGUUUGCUCUGUUCCAUAAAUAGGUCAAAAAGAUAUAUAUUGAUAUAAAUUUGGUUGUUAGAUUACCAUUCAGGAUAAAUAAUUAGCAUAGGGGCCCAAAGUUUUUCAAGUUCAAAAACUUUGUUGUAUUUUCUUGCUGUAUAUAACUCUAAGUUAUAAAAGUUUUUCAGUCUAUUUUUUAAUUCAAUUGCAUUUGGAAGCUUUUCUUCUAGCUUGCAUUUAUAUAUGUAUUUUUUGGCAAAAAUUUUUUUUUUUGUUAAAAUCAAUGUUAACAUAGAAAUUUUUCAGACAAGCACAAAACAAAUAUAAAAAAUUUGAUGUCACUUGACAAUCAUAAAAUAAAUGUCCAAUAGUUUCAUCUUCACAUCUACAAAAAGAACAUAACUUUGUAUCUUUGAUUUUAAUCUUAUAUAAAAAUG
Molecule: long non-coding RNA, 656 nt
Filed under: Mytilus galloprovincialis (Mediterranean mussel)
Lineage: Eukaryota; Metazoa; Mollusca; Bivalvia; Mytilida; Mytilidae
Source: RNAcentral